UACGGAGGGUGCAAGCGUUAUUCGGAAUUACUGGGCGUAAAGCGUUCGUAGGCGGUUUAACAAGUCAGAUGUGAAAUCCCACGACUCAAUCGUGGAAGUGCGUUUGAUACUGUUAGACUAGAGUAUUGGAGGGGAGAAGGGAAUUCCUGGUGUAGAGGUGAAAUUCGUAGAUAUCAGGAGGAACAACGGAGGCGAAGGCGCUUCUCUGGACAAUUACUGACGCUGAGGAACGAAAGCGUGGGGAGCAAACAGG
This 253-nucleotide ribosomal RNA is filed under the name uncultured bacterium. Its description in RNAcentral is "partial 16S ribosomal RNA". It matches the Rfam family "Bacterial small subunit ribosomal RNA", at positions 524 to 776 of the family's 1533-position model. The record is from RNAcentral.